This is a long non-coding RNA of Hippocampus zosterae (dwarf seahorse), 1156 nucleotides long. RefSeq lists it as uncharacterized. The record is from RefSeq and is a predicted model, not a curated record. Lineage: Eukaryota; Metazoa; Chordata; Actinopteri; Syngnathiformes; Syngnathidae. The transcript is spliced from 3 exons.
ACUGGCACACAAGCUGGAGCCGGACGAACUGUCCCUCCUUGUGUGAGACGCUCGCGGCCAAUAGGAAGGCAGCUUGCUCAUCUCAAGCCACGCCCCUAAAUGAAGGCGGGCGUCUUUUUUAAGCGACGUUUUCUUUUAUAAACCACAGUUCCCAAGUCUACGCUUCAUACUUUGGCGAUGACUGAGAAGUGGACCGCGCCGAUGUGGGAGGAGGAAUGUGGGGGCUGCAACCAUGAUUGCCCGUAACCAUAGAAGGAAAAAAGUGGGAUUUUCCUUCAGACUUUUCGUGGUCAUCAGCUGGAUGGGCAAAAACUACAACAACAAAAAAAGUACUGUACUAUAUCGGCAACAAACUUGUUGCGCCAAGUCAACGCUGGUCCGAUUGCGCCCUCUGGUGGACACCUGACGAAAGUCCUCCAAUGACAAUCAAACGCGUUCUCCUCGACUCCGGAGGAGUUCUGUUUGGUCCCACGCAAAAAGAUGACAACAACCAGGAGGAGGAGACGACCAUCUGCGGUCACGCUGAAGAUGACAUUUUUGCAGCUUCACACUUACUCACCAUAGCAUGUGAGAGCAACGAUCAUACGGUGAGGUGGGCGACACAGCCAAGCCGUAUGCCCGCUGACAUUUUUGGAUCGACGCUGCGUUGGCGCGCUAGGUAGCGACCGUAAAGUGAGCCUCGCCUGACAUCGGCUCAUUCCUCGACGCCCGGCAGGCAGAUGGCGUGAACGUGUGCUACCAUGGCGGGAAGAGCAGCGGAUAUCUGCGAAGCGCUGCAAAAUCCCGAUCUUGGAAAGCCUCCUCCAAAGGUGGUAGCGGCUCGCUAUUAACUGACAGAGGCGGCAGUUGAGCAACGGUGGCGAACAUCAUGAUUGACAAGUAGACUGCCCAAACUGGCAAAAAAAAAAAUGGAGGCAAACGAGAAGAUAAGACUUCAUUUCAUUGUAUGUGGUGUGCUCAGACAAACGGACACGCUUGCGUCUUUGUAUUAUUUUUCAAUACUAACAUCUGGAUCAUAUUUACAGUAUUUACAAUCACUUAAAAAAAACAGAGCGAAGUUAUAAAAAUAACAUUUCACAUCGUAUCGAUGAAUGGAUUAGACACAUCAAGCCACAGUCUGCUAAAAAAAAAUAAAAUAAUAACACGCACUGUCUGC